RNAcentral lists this ribosomal RNA (253 nucleotides) under uncultured bacterium. Its description in RNAcentral is "partial 16S ribosomal RNA". It matches the Rfam family "Bacterial small subunit ribosomal RNA", at positions 524 to 776 of the family's 1533-position model. The record is from RNAcentral.
UACGGCGGGUGCGAGCGUUACCCGGAUUUACUGGGCGUAAAGGGCGUGUAGGCGGUUUUCUAAGUCCGGGGCUAAAGACCAUGGUUCAACCAUGGGUUUGCCUUGGAUACUGGAAAGCUCGACGGCUGGAGGGGGCAGCGGAAUUUCCGGAGUAGCGGUGAAAUGCGCAGAUACCGGAAGGAACGCCAAUAGCGAAGGCAGCUGCCUGGACAGUACGUGACGCUGAGGCGCGAAAGCGUGGGGAGCAAACCGG